AUGCGCCCUGGGCUCAGUUUGCGCCGCGAUAAAUUGUUUUCAACAUGUAAUACAUUUUUUGCCGCAUGCCAGGUGAGAUGGCGAACUGGGUGUGCUUUCUGUGUUUGUGUUGUGUGGGACCGUGGGAGAGUGAUUUUUCUUCAGAAGGUUCAGAGUUUUAUUGGGUUAAGGCGAACUCAGCUUAUCGUACAGUCUUGUUCAAACAGUGAUUUUUCUUCAGAAGGUUCGGAGUUCUAUUGGGUUAGAAACAUGUACAAUUUGUCAGGUUGUUUCAGGUCGUCUAAAUCUGGAGUUCUAGACUGUAUGAUCUACUGGGUUGCCUGCGCCGGUCAUCGAAGCCUACCGAGGUGGUGCCCCACUGCUGCCAGCGUCUCACUGCACCCCUCCUCCACACCACAAGGAAGACCAAGAUAUCAUGUUGUUGUUGUUGCUCUUCUACUACAUCUUCAGGUUCAGAAAAGGCAACAACAACGUUUCGCUGUGCGGUGUAGGCUGCGGCGGCAGGACCAUUUUCCUCUUGAAAUUGUUUUAAUUUAUGUGUUUCUCCUACCGCCAAUAGAGGAGAAGAAAGGCCAGCACCGAGCUACUGUUGCUACUGCUUGUUUUAGCUUGCACAACCAAUUUGGGCGUUACCAGGAAGAAGACAAAGAGAGAAAAUUAUGA
Molecule: ribosomal RNA, 663 nt
Filed under: Triticum aestivum (bread wheat)
Lineage: Eukaryota; Viridiplantae; Streptophyta; Magnoliopsida; Poales; Poaceae
Description: partial small subunit ribosomal RNA
Source: RNAcentral